RNAcentral lists this ribosomal RNA (253 nucleotides) under uncultured bacterium. Its description in RNAcentral is "partial 16S ribosomal RNA". It matches the Rfam family "Bacterial small subunit ribosomal RNA", at positions 524 to 776 of the family's 1533-position model. The record is from RNAcentral.
UACGUAGGGUGCGAGCGUUAAUCGGAAUUACUGGGCGUAAAGCGUGCGCAGGCGGUGAUGUAAGACAGUUGUGAAAUCCCCGGGCUUAACCUGGGAAUGGCAUUUGGGACUGCAAGGCUGGAGUGCGGCAGAGGAGACUGGAAUUCCUGGUGUAGCAGUGAAAUGCGUAGAUAUCAGGAGGAACACCGAUGGCGAAGGCAGGUCUCUGGGCUGACACUGACGCUCAUGCACGAAAGCGUGGGGAGCAAACAGG